CCUACGUGCGGCAGCAGUGGGGAAUAUUGGGCAAUGGGCGCAAGCCUGACCCAGCAACGCCGCGUGAAGGAAGAAGGCUUUCGGGUUGUAAACUUCUUUUCUCAGGGACGAAGCAAGUGACGGUACCUGAGGACUAAGCCACGGCUAACUACGUGCCAGCAGCCGCGGUAAGACGUCGGUGGCAAGCGUUAUCCGGAUUUACUGGGUGUAAAGGGCGUGUAGGCGGGGACGCAAGUCAGAUGUGAAAGCCACGGGCGCAACCUGUGGCCUGCAUUUGAAACUGUGUUUCUUGAGUACUGGAGAGGCAGACGGAAUUCUUAGUGUAGCGGUGACAUGCGUAGAUAUGAGGAGGAACACCAGUGGCGAAGGCGGUCUGCUGGACAGCAACUGACGCUGAGGCGCGAAAGCGUGGGGAGCAAACAGGAUUAGAUACCCGAGUAGUC
RNAcentral lists this ribosomal RNA (443 nucleotides) under uncultured bacterium. RNAcentral's name for it is "partial 16S ribosomal RNA". It matches the Rfam family "Bacterial small subunit ribosomal RNA", at positions 338 to 795 of the family's 1533-position model. The record is from RNAcentral.